GACGAACGCUGGCGGCGUGCCUAAUACAUGCAAGUCGAGCGAGUCUGCCUUGAAGAUCGGAGUGCUUGCACCCUGUGAAACAAGAUACAGGCUAGCGGCGGACGGGUGAGUAACACGUGGGUAACCUGCCCAAGAGAUCGGGAUAACACCUGGAAACAGAUGCUAAUACCGGAUAACAACAGAUGAUGCCUAUCAACUGUUUAAAAGAUGGUUCUACUAUCACUCUUGGAUGGACCUGCGGUGCAUUAGCUAGUUGGUAGGGUAACGGCCUACCAAGGCGAUGAUGCAUAGACGAGUUGAGAGACUGAUCGGCCACAUUGGGACUGAGACACGGCCCAAACUCCUACGGGAGGCAGCAGUAGGGAAUCUUCCACAAUGGACGCAAGUCUGAUGGAGCAACGCCGCGUGAGUGAAGAAGGGUUUCGGCUCGUAAAGCUCUGUUGUUGGUGAAGAAGGACAGGGGUAGUAACUGACCUUUGUUUGACGGUAAUCAAUUAGAAAGUCACGGCUAACUACGUG
RNAcentral lists this ribosomal RNA (519 nucleotides) under uncultured bacterium. Its description in RNAcentral is "partial 16S ribosomal RNA". It matches the Rfam family "Bacterial small subunit ribosomal RNA", at positions 28 to 507 of the family's 1533-position model. The record is from RNAcentral.